RNAcentral lists this ribosomal RNA (224 nucleotides) under Clostridioides difficile. Its description in RNAcentral is "partial 23S ribosomal RNA". It matches the Rfam family "Bacterial large subunit ribosomal RNA", at positions 1146 to 1378 of the family's 2925-position model. The record is from RNAcentral. Lineage: Bacteria; Bacillati; Bacillota; Clostridia; Peptostreptococcales; Peptostreptococcaceae.
UGGUCGAGUGAUCCUGCGCCGAAGAUUUCCGGGGCUAAAACUUACUACCGAAGCUACGGCAUCAGUAAUGAUGGGUAGGGGAGCUUCCCAUACGGGGUGAAGCAUGACCGUAAGGACAUGUGGACAGUAUGGGAGUGAGAAUGUUGGCAUGAGUAGCGAGAUGUGGGUGAGAAUCCCACAGGCCGUAAACCCAAGGUUUCCAGGGGAAGGUUCGUCCGCCCUGG